CCUAAAGGGGCUGCAGGAAACCUGGAGAGGGGCUUUUGAUAAGGGCCUGUAUAGACAGGACAAGGGGCAAUGGCUUUAACUUAGCCAUGUCUGGAACUGAAAGCUGAAGUCAGGUGUUGAAUUCAUGGGAACUUGAUGUGCUGGAGUGUGACUCACUGGAUGAAAGCAAGCAAAAGCUCCAUAAAAAUGUGCUUUAUUACAUGGGUUAAAAUGUUUCUGAAGAAGCGUCUGUGAAAGCAGAUGCUGCAGUAUUUUCCUUUAAUUGCCAUUGGUCCAACAAUUCAUCUGCCUCUGACAGGUCUUCCAGAACACACGAUCCUCCCAAGAAAUCCAAGCCUAUGAAUCAUAGUCAAAACAUGGAAACAACAGCAAGGUGGAAGUUGGGCUCCUGUGGAGAGUUCCAUUUGUCUCUGCACACUCAAGGAUGGAGCUUGUGCUGCAGAAGUUAUAAACCUGACAACAGGAGGAGGGAUAGGUCACCAGAUUUAUCUGAGGCUUGGAAACUGAAUGACCUUAAUGGACGAUGCUUUGCCAUGAGCCACAAACCUGCCGAUGUUUAGGAGCCAGGUCUCCUGCUUCAGCCUGUUUCUCAAGGUUGGUGGUCCAAAGGCUGAAGUGGAGGAAGGAGCUCUAGUAUCCAGAAGGACGUUGACCUCUCAUCGGGAUCCUCCUCUGUGGGAUCUGGCGGCUUGCCGGCUGCCUUCGGUACGCAGGGCUCUCCCCUGGCAGAACCAGUAUGGACUGCUGGCCCGAGUUCCUCUGAGACUCGAAGAUGCUUUGCUCUGCCGCGCUCCUCUCCGAACAGGUAGACCCGGGCAUCGGCAGCAGGCGACCCAUCCUCAAGAGAAACCUUCCCAUGAAGGGUCGCAUCCUCGCACAUGCAGGCAUCGCAGUCAGCAUUGACACGGCCCAUGGGGCAGGUGAUGUUGCAGGCUGGAGGAGAAACAGGCAGGGACGCAGGAGUCAGCCCCUGCUCUGCAAGCCUCAGCAUCACUGCCUUGUGCCAUCCACUUGGAGGGGAAAACGAUCUUCCUGGAAGUUUUCUUUAAAAGACCAAGUGAAGAAAACCUCUCUCUGAGCGUCCAUGUUUUUGUGCUUUGAUUCUCCCCAGCAGGUAAGAGAGCUGUUGGGAAUGGGACAGAAAGCUGGGAAAGUCCCUUAAUCCCUCAGCUAUGGUGUCAGCACGUCCAGCACUUACAGUGCCUGCUGGAAUCUAAAUCCUGAGCCCGGGGCAGUAAAGGUUAAAGGGUUGUGAUGUCUCCUUGGGGUUAAGGAGCAGACUGGGCUCUACAGGUAGUUAAUACCCCACAGGCUUUCAUUCUAUAUGGUGUCACCAACUGCAUGGGGACAGGCUGGGAAGGGGAAGGGCAAGUCAGAGCAUGUUCUUGCCCAUCCCUGGGCUCUCCUCGCCCUCCCAGCCCGCGCGUGCUUCCCGCGGGAGCCGGGGCUGUGGUCAUGCACUUGACCUUCACUUUUCCAGGAGAGGAGCCAACAGCGUGUGUCAGCGAUAGCUAGAACCCUACAGGAGGUCGCGGAUGGUUAGCAUUUAUUCCAUUGCUUAAAUGUCCUCAUCUACCCAAAUAAUAGUGUUUGGCUGUAAAUUGAGGCUGAAAAAACCCUAAUACGUGUGCAAACACCCCUUGUCCUGAUGAGGGAAAGCCACCCCAGCUGGGAACAACUUACUCUCCAAGCUGAGCAUUACCAGCGGGCUGAAGGUUUUCUGUCCUAUCUGGAUCCUGCCAAGGGCUGGUUUCAGAAGCCUUUGACCUAAGGGUUAAUGAAUGAGAGAUUAAAUUGGAUUAACAAUAAA
Neopsephotus bourkii (Bourke's parrot) is the source of this 1810-nucleotide long non-coding RNA. RefSeq lists it as uncharacterized. The record is from RefSeq and is a predicted model, not a curated record. NCBI's taxonomy places the organism in Eukaryota, Metazoa, Chordata, Aves, Psittaciformes, Psittacidae. The transcript is spliced from 5 exons.